CGGCACGUAGCGCACCGUCAUGGGGUGUCGGGGGUCGGAGGUUCAAAUCCUCUCGUGCCGACCA
Molecule: transfer RNA, 64 nt
Filed under: Escherichia coli
Lineage: Bacteria; Pseudomonadati; Pseudomonadota; Gammaproteobacteria; Enterobacterales; Enterobacteriaceae
Also listed under: 1 other name
Description: tRNA-Pro
Rfam family: tRNA
About the family: Transfer RNA (tRNA) molecules are approximately 80 nucleotides in length. Their secondary structure includes four short double-helical elements and three loops (D, anti-codon, and T loops). Further hydrogen bonds mediate the characteristic L-shaped molecular structure. tRNAs have two regions of fundamental functional importance: the anti-codon, which is responsible for specific mRNA codon recognition, and the 3' end, to which the tRNAs corresponding amino acid is attached (by aminoacyl-tRNA synthetases). tRNAs cope with the degeneracy of the genetic code in two manners: having more than one tRNA (with a specific anti-codon) for a particular amino acid; and 'wobble' base-pairing, i.e. permitting non-standard base-pairing at the 3rd anti-codon position.
Source: RNAcentral